AUUGAACGCUGGCGGCAGGCCUAACACAUGCAAGUCGAACGGUAACAGGAAACAGCUUGCUGUUUCGCUGACGAGUGGCGGACGGGUGAGUAAUGUCUGGGAAACUGCCUGAUGGAGGGGGAUAACUACUGGAAACGGUAGCUAAUACCGCAUAACGUCGCAAGGCCAAAGAGGGGGACCUUCGGGCCUCUUGCCAUCGGAUGUGCCCAGAUGGGAUUAGCUAGUAGGUGGGGUAACGGCUCACCUAGGCGACGAUCCCUAGCUGGUCUGAGAGGAUGCCCAGCCACACUGGAACUGAGACACGGUCCAGACUCCUACGGGAGGCAGCAGUGGGGAAUAUUGCACAAUGGGCGCAAGCCUGAUGCAGCCAUGCCGCGUGUAUGAAGAAGGCCUUCGGGUUGUAAAGUACUUUCAGCGGGGAGGAAGGGAGUAAAGUUAAUACCUUUGCUCAUUGACGUUACCCGCAGAAGAAGCACCGGCUAACUCCGUGCCAGCAGCCGCGGUAA
This 506-nucleotide ribosomal RNA is filed under the name uncultured bacterium. RNAcentral describes it as "partial 16S ribosomal RNA". It matches the Rfam family "Bacterial small subunit ribosomal RNA", at positions 30 to 523 of the family's 1533-position model. The record is from RNAcentral.